GACGAACGCUGGCGGCAGGCCUAACACAUGCAAGUCGAACGAGUGGCGGACGGGUGAGUAAUGUCUGGGAAACUGCCUGAUGGAGGGGGAUAACUAGUGGAAACGGUAGAUAAUAACGCAUACCAUCAGAGGUGCCCAGAUGGGAUGAGCGGGUUGGUGGGGUAACGGCUCACCAAGGCGACGACCCCUAGCUGGUCUGAGGGGAUGACCAGCCACACGGGAACGUGGCCACGGUCCAGACUCCUCCGGGAGGCAUCAGUGGGGAAUAUUGCACAAUGGGCGCAAGCCUGAUGCAGCCAUGCCGCGUGUAUGAAGAAGGCCUUCGGGUUGUAAAGUACUUUCAGCGGGGAGGCGUUACCCGCAGAAUAAGCACCGGCUAACUCCGUGCCAGCAGCCGCGGUAAUUC
This 406-nucleotide ribosomal RNA is filed under the name uncultured bacterium. RNAcentral's name for it is "partial 16S ribosomal RNA". It matches the Rfam family "Bacterial small subunit ribosomal RNA", at positions 28 to 526 of the family's 1533-position model. The record is from RNAcentral.